Molecule: ribosomal RNA, 550 nt
Filed under: uncultured bacterium
Lineage: Bacteria
Description: bacterial SSU rRNA
Rfam family: Bacterial small subunit ribosomal RNA
Source: RNAcentral
UAGGGAAUCUUCGGCAAUGGGGGCAACCCUGACCGAGCAACGCCGCGUGAGUGAAGAAGGUUUUCGGAUCGUAAAGCUCUGUUGUAAGUCAAGAACGAGUGUGAGAGUGGAAAGUUCACACUGUGACGGUAGCUUACCAGAAAGGGACGGCUAACUACGUGCCAGCAGCCGCGGUAAUACGUAGGUCCCGAGCGUUGUCCGGAUUUAUUGGGCGUAAAGCGAGCGCAGGCGGUUUGAUAAGUCUGAAGUUAAAGGCUGUGGCUCAACCAUAGUUCGCUUUGGAAACUGUCAAACUUGAGUGCAGAAGGGGAGAGUGGAAUUCCAUGUGUAGCGGUGAAAUGCGUAGAUAUAUGGAGGAACACCGGUGGCGAAAGCGGCUCUCUGGUCUGUAACUGACGCUGAGGCUCGAAAGCGUGGGGAGCGAACAGGAUUAGAUACCCUGGUAGUCCACGCCGUNNNGAUGAAUGCUANGUGUUGGAUCCUUUCCGGGAUUCAGUGNCGCAGCUAACGCAUUAAGCACUCCGCCUGGNNAGUANNACCGCNANGGUUG